This 220-nucleotide ribosomal RNA is filed under the name uncultured Candidatus Accumulibacter sp. Its description in RNAcentral is "partial 16S ribosomal RNA". It matches the Rfam family "Bacterial small subunit ribosomal RNA", at positions 639 to 856 of the family's 1533-position model. The record is from RNAcentral. Lineage: Bacteria; Pseudomonadati; Pseudomonadota; Betaproteobacteria.
UUCUGGAGUUUGGCAGAGGGGGGUAGAAUUCCACGUGUAGCAGUGAAAUGUGUAGAGAUGUGGAGGAAUACCGAUGGCGAAGGCAGCCCCCUGGGCCAAUACUGACGCUCAUGCACGAAAGCGUGGGGAGCAAACAGGAUUAGAUACCCUGGUAGUCCACGCCCUAAACGAUGCCAACUAGGUGUUGGAGGGGUUAAACCCUUUUAGUGCCGUAGCUAAC